GAUGAAGAACGCAGCGAAACGCGAUACGUAAUGUGAAUUGCAAAUUCAGUGAAUCAUCGAGUCUUUGAACGCACAUUGCGCCCCCUGGUAUUCCGGGGGGCAUGCCUGUCCGAGCGUCAUUGCUGCCUUCAAGCACGGCUUGUGUGUUGGGCCCCGUCCUCCGAUCCCGGGGGACGGGCCCGAAAGGCAGCGGCGGCACCGCGUCCGGUCCUCGAGCGUAUGGGGCUUUGUCACCCGCUCUGUAGGCCCGGCCGGCGCUUGCCGAUCAACCCAAAUUUUUAUCCAGGUUGACCUCGGAUCAGGUAGGGAUACCCGCUGAACUUAAGCAUAUCAAUAAGCGGAGGA
This 345-nucleotide unclassified non-coding RNA is filed under the name soil metagenome. RNAcentral's name for it is "partial contains 5.8S ribosomal RNA, internal transcribed spacer 2, and large subunit ribosomal RNA". The stretch from base 1 to 119 matches the Rfam family "5.8S ribosomal RNA", at positions 35 to 154 of the family's 154-position model. The record is from RNAcentral.